This 368-nucleotide ribosomal RNA is filed under the name uncultured eukaryote. RNAcentral's name for it is "partial 18S ribosomal RNA". It matches the Rfam family "Eukaryotic small subunit ribosomal RNA", at positions 1470 to 1796 of the family's 1831-position model. The record is from RNAcentral.
CCCUAAGAUAGCCUGGGCUGCACGCGAAUUACAAUGGCAAAAACAACGAGUUAUGGAUCAUUUCAGUUUAUUCUGGACUGGUUGUUCCUGCUCCGAAAGGAGUGGGUAAUCUUUUGAAAUUUUGUCAUGCUAGGGAUUGAAGAUUGGAAUCAUCUUCAUGAACGAGGAAUGCCUUGUAAACGGAGGUCAUUAGCCUCCAUUGAAUGAGUCCCUGUUCUUUGUACACACCGCCCGUCGCUUCUACCGAUUGAAUGGAUCGAUGAGAACUUAGGAGAGACGGGUCUAUCUGAGUGGGAGCUUCGGCGAACACUCAAGCCCUCUUGAAUUCUUUCGAAUCUCUCUAUUUAGAGGAAGAAGAAGUCGUAACA